UCCACAUUGCAGACUCGGAGUUCACAGGGCCGGGGCUGCGGUCGCUGUGGAUCAGCCAGCCCCCCUGGGCUCCCCGCAGCCACUGUCCAGCCACCCCACCUCGGAGCAGCGUGAAGCUGGUUCUCUACCCAUUUUACAGCCAGCGAACAUUCCGCAUUGAUUUAUCGACUACCGUCUGCCGUCUGCCGUCUGCCGUGGAGGGAGCUGGGAAGAGACUGCCCUCCAGUCCAGCAUGGAUUUCCCCUCCUCCCUCCUCCUUUAUCCCGGUGCAAGCUGCCAGCUGAGGCAGGAAUUGGAGCAUGCAGCAGCCCAAAUGGCUGGUCCUGAGCAUGCCUGCUCCUGGAGUCGGCCAGGCCUGUCUGUCUUUUCCUUUUCCUUUUGUCCCAAACUGAACACCCAGCCUUCGCGCAUUCCUGUUCGGUCUGGGUGCAAGAGAGAAGCCUCCAGGGAACCUCCGCAGGAUGUGCGGGAUGUUUCGCACUCACUACCUCUAAGCCUGCUCAGACCGGCCCACAAGCCAUGUCCAGGACCCCGAGGUGCCCCACUGUCUUCAGAUGCAUCAGAAAGGAGCAACUCCAGCUGUGCUGGCCUGUGAGGAAGGCAUCCCAUUGAUCGGGACACAGAUCCUCAGCUCACAUUUUCUUCUCAAAUAUCUUUUCUCAAACAAUAAUAAUUUGUUUUUCCUGAAAUAAACGAAUCAUUCUCCUUAAGAGCAAAAUUUCCUGAGCAGAAAAACUGGGGCUCUAAUGCCUGCAUAUGCAGCUCGGAGCUGCAGGAAUCGCUCUUGGUGUAAGAGCAACCCCAGCUCGACCGAACUCAAAUUUCACCUCCCUUCCUGAAGCCCCCUUGUUCCUGGCAGCCGCCGGCUCCCCAAGAGAUCAGCUUGACCAGCGAGACCUUGGUUCUGUGUUUCCAUCUGCUGACUAAUCAGAGAAAAGCAUAGCAGAUUUUCAAGCAGUUUUAAAUUACCUCUAUGUAACAAUUUUUAAAAUUUAAUUAACCUCAAUCCAGUAGCAAGUGAUCAAAAUAAGGAAAGAAAAUUAAAAUAAAAAUAUUUAAAUGUAAAUUCAGGCAGGUUACCAUUUUUAUCUAUCAAUUAGCAAAAAAAAAAAAAGGCAAUUCAUAAAAUUAUUGAAAUGAAUGCCUGGUAAGCAGUGUAAAUUGGUAAAGCCAUUUCAGAAACUAAUCAAAUAUCAUAGACCAAUAGUCUCAAAUGUACACUAUUUACACUCAGCCUUUUGAUCUAAAGAAAUAAUUUUAGCAUAUGUGCUGCUGAAGCAAGUGAGAAAAGAAAUAAUUUUAAAUAAUGAAAACAUAUUUAUGUUUAAAGAAGUUCAAUGCAGCAAUACAGGAAAAUACCACCAAGAAGAGAGGAAACGAUCUAAUUUUCAAAAUUCUGGAAUGAUUAAGUUGUACAUUUGCUCAGUGUAAUGGGCCAUUAUGAAACAUGAGGGGCUGUAAAAAUAUGUAACGAGGUGAAAUUUCUCCAGUAUAAUAAAAAGUAGAGGGGAUGACCAAGUAUAUCCAUGUGUACAAUUAUUACUAGUUGGAAAGAAUGAGCACAGAGAAUAUAUACUGGAAGAAGUUUCUGUAAAUGCCAAUAAUAUCAUCAGAAUGGUGUUA
Heterocephalus glaber (naked mole-rat) is the source of this 1623-nucleotide non-coding RNA. Lineage: Eukaryota; Metazoa; Chordata; Mammalia; Rodentia; Bathyergidae. The record is from RefSeq and is a predicted model, not a curated record.